GCGAGAGUGCUGGAAUUGGUAGACAGGCACGUUUGAGGGGCGUGUGUCGUUUGGCGUAUGGGUUCAAGUCCCAUCUCUCGCA
This 82-nucleotide transfer RNA is filed under the name Clostridiales bacterium. Its description in RNAcentral is "tRNA-Leu". It matches the Rfam family "tRNA". Rfam says of the family: Transfer RNA (tRNA) molecules are approximately 80 nucleotides in length. Their secondary structure includes four short double-helical elements and three loops (D, anti-codon, and T loops). Lineage: Bacteria; Bacillati; Bacillota; Clostridia; Eubacteriales. The record is from RNAcentral.